GUUCUUUGUUGCAUAGUCCUACAAUUCUACUAAUAAUACCAUUUUAAUAUGAUGAGCCCUGAAUGACAAAACAGUUCCUUCAAUGGAAACCUCACCCUAACAUUGGCCUUCAUACCAAGAGAAUCAGUGGAAUGGCAUGUGACAAAUGACUUGUCUGUAAAAUACUAAAAAAAGGAAAUGUUUAGAAUGUUUCUUAUUUGAAUAGAUCUGGUACCAGGAGAGUUUUACAUAUUUCCUUCAUUAACGUUAUUGUAUUAACGUCUCAAUAAGCAGAGCAUGUUCCGCAAGGUUUAUCUAUGAGACUUUCUCAUCUGUGCCAGGGCAGAAGGGGAGGGCUUGUAGAAGCUGCAGAUAUCAGAU
Pelobates cultripes (western spadefoot toad) is the source of this 360-nucleotide non-coding RNA. The record is from the annotation of a GenBank genome assembly. Lineage: Eukaryota; Metazoa; Chordata; Amphibia; Anura; Pelobatidae.